UCUCAAGUUUAGGCAUGACUGUUAUGAAUUAAGAUUUGCUCUAAACCUGAACUUGUGGGAAGAAUACUUUGAUCUAAAGUCUAAGUUGUUAACGGAUAUGAUAUGGGAAGGCUGCUACUGUUUAUCUGUUUCUAGAGAUGCUAGAAUUCUGGAGAAUUUUAUCUUUGAAAAUCUUUAAAAUAACACAUGAUGGGUUCCUAUAUGAUGAGAGUUUAAAAUCCUACCACAGCCAUAUAUACAUGCUUGCUAGACUUUGAGCCACACAUUUACUUUUUACUGCUUAUGAGCAUUGAGUGUGGUCAAGCUGUGUAGACCCUUAUGAGCUUGUCAUGUGGUUAAAUCAAGAUUCACUUGCACGUUCACUCACACAUGCUGCUUCUACUCCGGAAGUACGCAUCCAUAUACAUCCACUCAAUUCAAUCUCCAGAUUCACCUAAAAUUAUUCUACCCCUAAUCCGGGAGAGAAUAGCCAAAAAUAUUUUCCUAUCCCUGUUAUUCCCUGUGAAAUAAAUGCUCGAGUUAUCUUGGUUAGUACCACUUGCUAUAUUAUUUCAGGAGAUGAGUGCUCUAAAAAAAAGAAAGGAAAAAAAUGAAUACGAGGAAAUAAAAAGGGGCAAGUGCUCGGAAUCUUGAAGAAAAUAAAAAGUGAGACGAGAGGUAAAAAUGGACAAGUGUCUGACAAUAGAAUUAGGGGUACAAAGAUACCCACCUGAGAAAAAAAAGAGAGAAAAAUAAAAUAUAGAGAAUCUCAUUCUCCUCAAAAAGCUUCAAAGUGCAAGAAAGGUAUGUAUCCCCUCAAAAAAGCAAAAGAAUUAGACUUUCACCAUUGUUAUCACCAUCAUCACCAUACACCAUUCACUCGCCACACAUGCACAUCUUGAUUUGACUUAUUGACUUGUGUUGACACUAGCUAACACCACUUAGAUACUAGGUUGUCAUCCCUAGCAUGGCGCCAGAGUGUACAAAGAUCAUAUAAAGUAAAUCUACUCUAGUUAUCUACAAGAUCAUAUAUAGCAUAAAAGACUCUUCAUUCAUGUAGACAUUGAUAAAGUAAAUCAGAGCAUCGCAUGAUUUACUACACAAUACCGGUUCUGCCUGUCCUAUCAACGGAGGGUGGACUAUAUAAGAAUCAACGAAGCUGUCACUAUCGCGAACUACCACACGACCCGGCCAAUAGGAUCAUUUGCAGAUAAAUAACAUCUAAGCACCACGCUCACAUGUGAUCUAUCACCUAACUCCCUCGCGUCAAGAGCUAAGCGCUUUGCAAACUUAUACAUAAACUCAUUAUCAAUCAUAACUAUAUCAAAUAUAGAACUAGAGCAAACUAAGAACAUAAUAAUUAGAGACAUAAUGCAAUUAGAACAAAGAAUUAGAGAAAGAUAUGAAUAAUACCAAUCUUUAUUACUGAAGAUCCGAAUCCAGAGCGUAGUGCUCUACUUCUCUAAUUGCUAUCUAAUCAACCUCUAAACUUGAAAGAUUAGAGAGUAGCUAAUUCUAAUUCUCUGUGGGAGAGAAGCUCUAAACCCUAACUUUGAUGGCUACCUCUGAAUAAUGAUUUCUCCUCCUCUCCUCCAGGGGCCAGGGGGUCUGGUUUUAUAGUCCCCUCAAGUGAACGUGAGCCAUUGGAUCAAACCGACAUAGAUUUUAUGGUUUAGAUUGAUCCCUUAGGUCGGUGGAGUCUUCCCCCGAAGCAGAGUCCUGUUUGGAAUCCAACCCUGGGCGGGCGCCCAAGGGGGUGGGCGGGCGCCCUGCCCCCGAGCCCGAAUCCCUUCUCGUUCGUUCCCGUGGCUUUUGGACCCUUCUAGAUUGAGGAAAAUUGCGCGGCACGUAAUUAUCUCGUUGUAAACAUGACAUGUGGGCCUUCUCUCCAUAAUUCCUGAUAAACCCCUGCAGAAAUAGAUAAACACCAAAACUCGUGGAAUUCUGUCAGAUAAAACCCUAAUUCUAGAUGUUUGUUUCAUAUUGAUCCUUUUUCAUGUUUAUUUGAUUAUUAAUUUUAGUACUUAAGGACCGUCAACAAACUCCCCCAAGCUUACCCUUUGCUCGUCCCUGAGCAAACAGCUAAACUCAGACGGAUCAGGAGUUGCUUCGAUGUUUUCUUUCCUGACAGGCACACAUGCUUUUACAUAAAAAUUCUUCCAGAUUAAAGUGAAGUGUUGUGGAGUUUAGUACCUGCACUUAAAUCUUAAGUAAUCGAAAGACAAAAUAGUUAAGUCAAGCACUAUCCCUCCUGUUUAUACUUCACCUUUGUUCCAGAGUUUUUCAUAGGUUUUCAAAAUAAAACUCAGAGUUCCCAGCAAUGAUUCUCUCAAGUCUCUCUAUAUGUGGUAUUUGUGGAUCCUUACCAUAAUGUCACUUACCUAUAACUAAUGAAAUAUUUAAGUGGAGCUCAUAGGAGUGAAAAACAGCUCAUACAUAUGUUGUCUAAUCGAGCCAUGGAUCCAAAGGAACCCAGCAUAUAAUUAAAUCAAGAUGUGCAUGUGUGAUGGAAUAAAUGAUAAUGAUGGUGAAAAUGCAUAAGUGAUAAUAAAACUUACUUCUCAUUGCUCCUCAUAUUGCUAUUUCUCCUCCUCUUUGAUCUUUGCUUUGGGAGAACAUGGGCUAUCUCUUUUUUUUUCAGGUGGGUAGUAGAUACCCCUAAUUCUACUGUCGGACACUUGUCCAUUUUUUCCGCUCAAGUGGGCAUCUUUGUACCCCUAAUUCUACUUCGGACACUUGUCCAUUUUUACCUCUCGUCUCACUUUCUUUUCUUUCUUUUUUUUCUUUCUUUUUCAAGGUUCCGGGCACUUGCCCCUUUUUAUUUCCUCGCAUAUUUUUGCAUAACCCAUGCCUCUUCUGCAUUGAAUCUUUUUAGAGAGAGAAUAACAAUAUUCGGGACAGUGAGUGAAAAUAUUUUUAGCAAUUUUAAUGAUUGAUGAUGGAUGCUGUGGUAGAUGUGUGCAAGUGAAUAUCUUAAUUUAACCACAUGAAAAGCUCCUAAGGGUCUACACAGCUCGAUCAAACUCAAUGUGAAUAUAGUAAAAGAUGUUAUAGCAAGUAUGGCUGUGGUAGGUAGUUUGUUAUGCUAGGAACUCAUCAUGUGAUUUGUAAGUUUUCAAAAUAAAUCUCCAGAACUUAGUGUAGUAGGAACAAGAUAAACAGUAGCUCAACUUUAUAUCAUGCCUUUCUCUUACCUAGACUUUAGUUUUAUGCUUCCCAAAGAUUUUAGUUUUAGUAAUUCCUGGAAGAAUUCUAAUAUAAAAGCUAGGUACUUGUAAGUAAGCAAAUAGAGCAACUUGUUCAUCAUUUCCAUCAUGCAUCUUUUUGGUCUUUUUAUUUUUCUAGAGUUUAAACUUAGCAGGAAAAUAAAGCACACUUAUCUACACACUCUUUUUAUUUUGUUUUCAUGUUUAUUAAAGUGCAGUGAAUUAAAGCAAGAAAAUAUUUAUUUGGUUUUCUAAGUUUUUCCUUUUAAGAUAAAUUAAAUACUAAGACAGAAUAGAAUAAAUAAGAAGAGCAAAUAAAAACUUACUUGAUAAAUUGGGGAGGAACUCCCCCAAGCUGGAUGUUGACGUCGGUCUUACCCGAUGUUCCAGAACCGCAUCAUGGUUGUGAUGUUGUCGUUCAUUGUUGUUGUAUCUUGUCUCAGCUCUUCUACUGCAGCUGCAUGGUCCUGGUUCUAUUUUUGUUGCUCUUCCAGGAGUCUUCCAUGUUCUGCUUGCGUGUUCUGGAUGUCGAGGAGGGUGUUGUCGGUGCGAGUGAAGAAAGCACCGGCCUCUUGAUAGUAGUCAUUCGUGAAAGCGUAGGAGGCGUCGGAGUAUCGUCCUGCAUCAAAUUGGGGCGGAGGUCUGGAUCCUGAAGCUCCAUAUGGAUCAGUGGAGUACCUGCCCGUAUGAAAAGGCAAGUUUGUCCACUGGUCAUCUUGGCUCUCCGGCCAUGUCUCUUCUGUUGGCUCUUGUGGUUGCGCAUGACGAACCCAUGGGUCUCGAAGGACUCGAGGGUUGUAAUCGCAAUAAUGCAGGUGCGCUGCUUCUUCUGGUCCAGGGUCAGCUCUAUACCAGGUGCGUUCUCGGUUGGUGGUCACCCUUUCAGAUGCCACUCGCUGUGGAGCUCUCUGGUUUACUGGUGUUGCUGCAAGCUCAAUCAAAAGAUUUUGCACAACGUAUAGGCCAAGGUUGGGGUUAGGUUACCGAAUCUUGCCUUUAUCAUCAUAUAGCAUAUACAUUACAUUUCCCUCUUUCUUUAACAUCCGAGCUUGUCUAAAUGUGUCAUAGCCAUGAUAAAUUCUUAACUCUUCUAUGAAAUCCAACAAUGAGUUUUCUAGUAAGUGAAGAUUAGUGGCUAGACGAGUGAUAAGUGAAGUACAUCCUACUAGUCCCUGAAGACUAGGUAUACUAAGCCAAUGUGAAACUAAUAGUGUAACAGGUGAAGUGGGUACUUUACUAAUAGCAGCAUAUAAAAGUUGUAGAUCUCCUACUCUUACUUUCCUAAUAUCAUCACGAUAGAAAAGAUUGUACCCAAGCCAUUUGUGGAACAUCCUAAGAGUGGGGUGCCAUGUCACUGGUUCGGGCUUGACUAUAAAAAUUAUCUCUAGAUAUUUCUCUCCAAAACUGGUGUCUCUCAAAAUUGGGUAAAUCGGAGUCAAUGUUCAGGAUGCAUCUUGAAGAGAAACCAAGAUGGUCGCUCAGCUCUCUCCAAGACAACGUAAUUUCCUGUUUGAACAUCCGAAAAACAAUUCCCCCCUCAUAGUAUUGUAAAGUGCAAAGAAAUUCGAGGGUGAGAAGACGAGAACCCAGCUCAGUUAUAUUCCAAAAAUUUGUCCAACCCAUCAUCUGAAAAAUUAAGUCAAAUUCAGUGUCCAUACAUGUUUCUUGUAGUAGGAUUGGAUCGAGAGUAGGGGUAUGAAUGAAAUCUUUGUUCUUCAACUGCUGAUAGACUUCCUUCUCCCUUUGGGUCUUCAGUCCAAGGUCUCCUAUCUUGAGAAGGACCUUAACUUGCUGACCCGAUGAAGAUGACGGAGCUUGUGUGGGUGUCGGGUCGACGCUCAUCUCUGAUGGCUGUGAGGAGUGUCGGGAUGAACUCCUUGUUCCAAUGUUCUUGAGAGCCUUCCCUGCAUUCUUCACCUUCUUAAACAUCCUGCAAACAACAGUUGGCAAAAACACAACUAGUGGAAAAAUGUGAGAUAAAAUGUUAGUGAUCAGCUGUCCGGGGUGUCAGUAGUCCAGGGGUUAAUCGUUCAAGACAAGUUUCUAUUUUGGUAGAGCCUCCCCCUAAACAACUUUUACUUCCGCUUAGACAACUACUUACUAGGUGAUAAUCACUCUCUCAAAAGAACUCCAACCUUCCCUUCCACUCUCCUCUUUCUCUCUACUCUCUUCUCUUCACUACAAGAACUCCUUCUCGGGAAACUGAGGCUUGUGUGGUUUUCUGGAGUGUUUGUGUGAAGAGAAGGGGAGCUGGAGGUGGCCUUUUAUAGGAGGAAGAGGGGACAGGGCGGGCGCCCUUGGUAGGUGGGCGGGCGCCCACUUGUGAUGCCCAUCCUGGCUGCCCUCUCUCCACUUGCUUCCUUGUUUUGAUCUUACGCAAAAUAAUGUUGUGUUGGUAGUGGUUGGACGGUGGAAAGAUGUCAGGUGAGUGAAAACAUGUUGGUGGAUGAAAUUAUGUGAUGGGAUGUAUGUGAGGUGAAGUGUAUGACAUGUGGGACCCAGGGAGUGUGGGUCAUGCUUCUAGAAGGUUACUAUAAUUAAAUAUAAUGCAAGAAAAAUCUAUGAGAAUUGAAAAUUGAAAUGAUAAUGGAAUAUAUAUUUUUGUGCCUCCACAAUAAUUAAUAAAUAUGGGUUGUUACACACCACGAAUAUUAUUUAUAUAGGGCUUUUUAUUAUUAUAAUAAUGCUAUGAAUAAAUGUGACUAAUGCAAGAAUUAAUUAUACAAGAAUUUAAAUAUGAGAAAAUUAAUAAUGCGAAUAAAUACUGAUUUACCUCCCGACGAAGGUUUGGGAUUUUUAGGUCCCCCAAGCUGGACCUCCAAUUCUUUUAAUCUUCUGAGUUACCUUCCUCCGGAGAUGGUGUCUCCAGUGGUUCUUCAUGAACUUCCUUCACUGUAGAGUCUCUCUCUGGUCUGGGUUUGAAUGUGAAGUGUUCUUCUUGACCGUUUAUGUUGAACUUGAUUUCUCCAUUUCCGACAUCAAUGUGGGCAUUGGCAGUGCUCAGAAAUGGCCUUCCAAGGAUGAUGGACACUUUUGAGUCAGGACUCAUGUCUAGUACUACAAAGUCUACUGGCACCAGGAAAUCUCUGAUCUUGACUGGAAUGUUCUCGGCGAUACCCAACGGGUGUCGAACCGAUUGAUCCGCUAAUUGCAAGCACAUUGAUGUUGGUUCUAGGGUCGCAUGCUCAAGCUUUUUGUAGACUGAUGCUGGCAUCACACUGACACUUGCUCCGAGAUCACAAAGUGCAUUGUUGAAGUGUUGGUUUCCGAUUGAGCAAUCAAUAGUGGGGCAUCCGGGGUCUUUCUUCUUCUUUGGUGGUUUAUUGAGGAUGGCCGCACUACGUUCUUCUGUCAGCUUGAUAACCUCAGUGGUGGGCAGUGGUCUCUUCUUGUUAAGAAUAUCUCUAAUGUACUUUGCAUAUGUAGGUACCUGUAUGGCAUCGAGCAGAGGUAUGUUGACAUAUAAUUUCUGAAUGACCUCUACAAACUUACCAAACUGCUCAUCCGACUGCAGUCCUCUGUUUCUUCUGGGAAAUGGCAAAUAGUUGGUGUCGUAAAAAUCUUUCCUCAUUUCUCUAGUUCUUGGUGGUUGUAGCAGAUCUUCUGCUUCAACUGGGCUUUCUUCUUCUAUCACUGCUGGUUGCACUGGUGCUGAUGUUCUUUGUUUCUCUUUUGGGUAUGGUGGAUCUCUGGAAGCUUUGCCUCCUCUAGUAGUUAUAUUCUUUACCUGCUCAAUGUUAGUAGCAACAGGCAGUGCAGCAGCUAAUUUUAUUAAUUUAAGCUCUACCCUUUUAUUAAGAGUGUUUUGCUCAUCAAAGGCAGUUAGUAGAAAAUCCAUUUUAUUGUGUAUAUCUUUUAGAGAUGAUUCAUUUGUAUCUAGCCUUUGUUUAACUUCAUCAUUAAUUUUGGUUUGUUGAGCAAUUAUCUCUUUUAAUGAAAGUUGCUUGAAAGUAUUACCUGAAUUCAUACCUUUGCUAUUAGGUUGACUUGAAGUUGGUUGAUAUUUGUAUGCUGUCUCAAUGGCCCUUUGAUCUUCUUUGAACUUGGCCCUCUGGUCAAUCCAAUGGAGCAAAUUUUCCAUCUUAGUUGAUAAUGCAUUUACUUCUUCUGGUAUUUCUUCAGUUUGAUGACAUUGUUGAGCUUUAUCUUGGAACCAACUUUGGUUUUCUGCUAUCUUAUCCAAAAGUAUCUCUGCUUUUCCAGUUGUAAGCUCGAAGAAUGAUCCUUUAGCAGAUGCAUCUAGGCACUCACGAGCCAUCUGGGUUAAUCCAUGGUAGAAGGUCUGCAUAAGUAACCAUGUGGCCAUUCCAUGGUGAGGACAUUCUGAUAUGUAUCCUUGAAAACGCUCCCAUGCUUCUGAAAUGGCUUCUGUCUUCUGCUGUUGGAAACUGACAAUAUUUCCUCUUAAGGCAGUUGUUUUGCCUAUAGGGAAAAACUUUGAUAGAAAAGCAUCUGACAAAUUCAUCCAGUUGUUGAUGUUAUCUUGAUGAGUGUAGAACCACUUCCUCGCUUUUCCUUCUAGUGAGAAUGGAAAAAGGCGAAGUAGUAUGACGUCUUUGUCAACUCCGUUGAUGUGGAUUGUGCUUCCAAUCUCUAAGAAAUUCUGCAAGUGUGCACUGGCAUCUUCAUGUGCCUUUCCACUGAAUUGUGUAGCUUGUACCAAAUUGAUGAGGCUUGACUUGAGCUCAAACUCGGGUAUUCCUUCUUCUACUGCAAAUCUUGGACCGGUUGGAAUGUUGUCAAGACUUGGAGCAGAGAAUUCUUGCAAGGUCUUUUGUGCCAUAGCUUCAGCAAUUGGUAGCUAGCUUCUUCUUCUCUAGAUUGCUUUGGUUCUGAUGAUGAAGAGUUGAAUGUACCCAAAGUCAAUCCUGUUAUACCCUGUAUAAAAAUAUAAACAUAGAAAAACAACAGGGUGAACCUGCCAAAGCAGCGGUGCCUUGUUAUGAUUUCUCACUUAGUAGCUGUUUUUAUGCAAUUAUUUCUCUAUAGUCUAGUCUAAUAUUUUAUGUGAAUAACCUUGAUUGAUUUUCUGGCUUCCCUUACCGUUCCUAUUUAUGACUUAUUCCUGAGACUCGUAUAAAUCCCCGGCAACGGCGCCAGAAAUGCUUGUUGACACUAGCUAACACCACUUAGAUACUAGGUUGUCAUCCCUAGCAUGGCGCCAGAGUGUACAAAGGUAUUUAUAAAUGUAAAGGCUCUCUAGAAAAUAAUGUAUUCUAUCUGCAAGCGCACAGAUAAAACACCUCAUUGUAGCAUUUCACCAGGAUAAGUAUUCCAGGUAUCGUUAUUUAUAAUUUUGCUCAAGGGAUCUCAAGAAGAUGAAAUUAAAUCAAGGGGCAAAAUCUAUCAAGGCAUAGACUAGAGAUAAACUUGCAAGAACAUGAUUACUAAUGAGAAACUCGUCACACAGUCACAUACUUUAGCAGGGGGUGAACCAUAAAGAUAAUGAUAACGAAUUAUAAGUUCAUGGGUAGAUAACACAGUGAUUAGAAAAUAGACUACUCCUCAUAUAUGUAGGUGAUGUCGGAUUAGCUAGAGAAUGGAUUCUAAGUUAUCUACUAACUACUAAGUCAUAAUCUACUCUAGUUAUCUACAAGAUCAUAUAUAGCAUAAAAGACUCUUCAUUCAUGUAGACAUUGAUAAAGUAAAUCAGAGCAUCGCAUGAUUUACUCCACAAUACCGGUUCUGCCUGUCCUAUCAACGGAGGGUGGACUAUAUAAGAAUCAACGAAGCUGUCACUAUCGCGAACUACCACACGACCCGGCCAAUAGGAUCAUUUGCAGAUAAAUAACAUCUAAGCACCACGCUCACAUGUGAUCUAUCACCUAACUCCCUCGCGUCAAGAGCUAAGCGCUUUGCAAACUUAUACAUAAACUCAUUAUCAAUCAUAACUAUAUCAAAUAUAGAACUAGAGCAAACUAAGAACAUAAUAAUUAGAGACAUAAUGCAAUUAGAACAAAGAAUUAGAGAAAGAUAUGAAUAAUACCAAUCUUUAUUACCGAAGAUCCGAAUCCAGAGCGUAGUGCUCUACUUCUCUAAUUGCUAUCUAAUCAACCUCUAAAUUUGAAAGAUUAGGGAGUAGCUAAUUCUAAUUCUCUGUGGGAGAGAAGCUCUAAACCCUAACUUUGAUGGCUACCUCUGAAUAAUGAUUUCUCCUCCUCUCCUCCAGGGGCCAGGGGGUCUAGUUUUAUAGUCCCCUCAAGUGAACGUGAGCCAUUGGAUCAAACCGACAUAGAUUGUAUGGUUU
This 9432-nucleotide long non-coding RNA is filed under the name Sorghum bicolor (sorghum). Its description in RNAcentral is "long non-coding RNA (SBIC_LNC000713)". The stretch from base 7491 to 7597 matches the Rfam family "Plant small nucleolar RNA R71". Lineage: Eukaryota; Viridiplantae; Streptophyta; Magnoliopsida; Poales; Poaceae. The record is from RNAcentral.